GCUCCUGUAGCCCAAUUGGAAGAGGCGGCUGUCUCAAAAACAGUCUAUUUUGUACGGGUUCAACUCCCGUCAGGAGUACCA
Molecule: transfer RNA, 81 nt
Filed under: Tolypothrix sp. FACHB-123
Lineage: Bacteria; Bacillati; Cyanobacteriota; Cyanophyceae; Nostocales; Tolypothrichaceae
Also listed under: 2 other names
Description: tRNA-Leu
Rfam family: tRNA
About the family: Transfer RNA (tRNA) molecules are approximately 80 nucleotides in length. Their secondary structure includes four short double-helical elements and three loops (D, anti-codon, and T loops). Further hydrogen bonds mediate the characteristic L-shaped molecular structure. tRNAs have two regions of fundamental functional importance: the anti-codon, which is responsible for specific mRNA codon recognition, and the 3' end, to which the tRNAs corresponding amino acid is attached (by aminoacyl-tRNA synthetases). tRNAs cope with the degeneracy of the genetic code in two manners: having more than one tRNA (with a specific anti-codon) for a particular amino acid; and 'wobble' base-pairing, i.e. permitting non-standard base-pairing at the 3rd anti-codon position.
Source: RNAcentral